This 466-nucleotide ribosomal RNA is filed under the name uncultured bacterium. RNAcentral's name for it is "bacterial SSU rRNA". It matches the Rfam family "Bacterial small subunit ribosomal RNA", at positions 917 to 1382 of the family's 1533-position model. The record is from RNAcentral.
GGACCCGCACAAGCAGUGGAGCAUGUGGUUUAAUUCGAAGCAACGCGAAGAACCUUACCAAGUCUUGACAUCCCUUCGAAUAAUGCGUAAAAGUGUUAGCUCUUCGGAGCGAAGGAGACAGGUGGUGCAUGGUUGUCGUCAGCUCGUGUCGUGAGAUGUUGGGUCAAGUCCCGCAACGAGCGCAACCCUUAUGGUCAGUAGCCAGCAGGUCAAGCUGGGCACUCUGGCCAGACUGCCCGGGAUAACCGGGAGGAAGGUGGGGAUGACGUCAAAUCAUCAUGCCCCUUAUGAUUUGGGCAACACACGUGCUACAAUGGCGUAAACAAAGGGAAGCGAAGGAGCGAUCCGGAGCGAAACCCAAAAAUAACGUCCCAGUUCGGACUGUAGUCUGCAACCCGACUACACGAAGCUGGAAUUGCUAGUAAUCGCGAAUCAGCAUGUCGCGGUGAAUACGUUCCCGGGUCUU